AGAAUGAACGCUGGCGGCGUGCUUAACACAUGCAAGUCGAGCGAGGCCAGGGGGGCAACUCCCUGAGUCGAGCGGCGGACGGGUGAGUAACACGUGGGUAACCUACCCGGAAGUGGGGAAUACCUCGGGGAAACUCGAGCUAAUACCGCAUAACAUCUCGAGGACGAAAGUUCUUGUGAUCAAAGCGGGGCCGCAAGGCCUCGUGCUACCGGAUGGGCCCGCGCCCGAUUAGCUAGUUGGCGAGGUAAUGGCUCACCAGGGCGACGAUC
Molecule: ribosomal RNA, 269 nt
Filed under: uncultured soil bacterium
Lineage: Bacteria
Description: partial 16S ribosomal RNA
Rfam family: Bacterial small subunit ribosomal RNA
Source: RNAcentral